AGGGUGUAAACGCUGCAGACUUGGUGUUGGGAACCCUUCGGGGUGCUCAGUGCCGGAGAGAAGUUGCUAAGUCUGCUACUUGGGGAGUACGUCCGCAAGGAUGAAACUUAAAGGAAUUGGCGGGGGAGCACCGCAACGGGAGGAGCGUGCGGUUUAAUUGGAUUCAACGCCGAAAAACUCACCAGCAGCGACUGUUACAUGAAACCCAGACUAAUGAUCUUGGUUGAUUUUUCAGAGAGGAGGUGCAUGGCGUCAGUGACU
RNAcentral lists this ribosomal RNA (261 nucleotides) under uncultured archaeon. RNAcentral describes it as "partial 16S ribosomal RNA". It matches the Rfam family "Archaeal small subunit ribosomal RNA", at positions 748 to 1008 of the family's 1478-position model. The record is from RNAcentral.